UUACACAUGCAAGUCGAACGGUGAAGCCCAGCUUGCUGGGUGGAUCAGUGGCGAACGGGUGAGUAACACGUGAGCAACCUGCCCCUGACUCUGGGAUAAGCGCUGGAAACGGCGUCUAAUACUGGAUACGAGACGUGAUCGCAUGGUCAACGUUUGGAAAGAUUUUUCGGUUGGGGAUGGGCUCGCGGCCUAUCAGCUUGUUGGUGAGGUAAUGGCUCACCAAGGCGUCGACGGGUAGCCGGCCUGAGAGGGUGACCGGCCACACUGGGACUGAGACACGGCCCAGACUCCUACGGGAGGCAGCAGUGGGGAAUAUUGCACAAUGGGCGCAAGCCUGAUGCAGCAACGCCGCKUGAGGGAUGACGGCCUUCGGGUUGUAAACCUYUUUUAGCAGGGAAGAAGCGAGAGUGACGGUACCUGCAGAAAAAGCACCGGCUAACUACGUGCCAGCAGCCGCGGUAAUACGUAGGGUGCAAGCGUUAUCCGGAAUUAUUGGGCGUAAAGAGCUCGUAGGCGGUUUGUCGCGUCUGCUGUGAAAUCUGGGGGYUCAACCCCCAGCCUGCAGUGGGUACGGGCAGACUAGAGUGCGGUAGGGGAGAUUGGAAUUCCUGGUGUAGCGGUGGAAUGCGCAGAUAUCAGGAGGAACACCGAUGGCGAAGGCAGAUYUCUGGGCCGUAACUGACGCUGAGGAGCGAAAGGGUGGGGAGCAAACAGGCUUAGAUACCCUGGUAGUCCACCCCGUAAACGUUGGGAACUAGUUGUGGGGUCCAUUCCACGGAUUCCGUGACGCAGCUAACGCAUUAAGUUCCCCGCCUGGGGAGUACGGCCGCAAGGCUAAAACUCAAAGGAAUUGACGGGGACCCGCACAAGCGGCGGAGCAUGCGGAUUAAUUCGAUGCAACGCGAAGAACCUUACCAAGGCUUGACAUAUACGAGAACGGGCCAGAAAUGGUCAACUCUUUGGACACUCGUAAACAGGUGGUGCAUGGUUGUCGUCAGCUCGUGUCGUGAGAUGUUGGGUUAAGUCCCGCAACGAGCGCAACCCUCGUUCUAUGUUGCCAGCACGUAAUGGUGGGAACUCAUGGGAUACUGCCGGGUCAACUCGGAAGAAAGGGGGGGAUGACGUCAAAUCAUCAUGCCC
RNAcentral lists this ribosomal RNA (1140 nucleotides) under Microbacterium sp. RNAcentral describes it as "bacterial SSU rRNA". The record is from RNAcentral. Lineage: Bacteria; Bacillati; Actinomycetota; Actinomycetes; Micrococcales; Microbacteriaceae.